AUAGAGCUAAACAACACAAAAGGUAAUCAAGAACACAAACAUUCUCUAAUUAAAAGAUGAGAAAAAAAACAAGAGGGGGGUAACAUUCAGACCUUUCAUUGGAGAACAAAGUCGAAAAUGGCAACUCGACGGGCUAAACAGCAAGGCCACCGGAUUGAAAAAACUGAAGCUAUAAAUUAGAACUUCGGCAUAAAAGCCUCACCGGAAGCUUCGAACGGAUCUCACGCAACUCAGCCUCAAUCGGACUCCAUUGUUGAAACCAAAAUCGAAGAGAAGCAGAACUGAAAUCUCUUUUUUUUUUUUGUAUUACUGAUUUUUAGAAAUGAAAAAUAAUACUUGUAUCAAAACUAACUUCAAAUUGUUUUCAUUCUUUCGCCCCCCAAAUUCUAUCUUGUUCCCUCUCCUUUCUCUUAUUCCCGUCCCUAUUUCUGCUCUGUGUGUCUUGCACAUUUUUGUGCUGCUGGUGGUUAAGGGUGGUCGUUUGAGUGAAGAAGAAGGUGAAGAUGGGUGGAGAAGAAGCAGGGUUUUGCGUCUCUGUGUGUGGUCUCCGGUUUCAGGCAUUCAUGUUGGUCGUUUAGGGUGGUAUUGACUGUGAGGGUGCAAGGUCGGUUCUUCUACUUGGCCACUGCUCUUGUACGGUCGGUUCCAAGGUCUAGGGUUCAGCUUUGUGUUUUGUUGUUGUUGAAGGUUGAAGAAGAUACGACAACCAUGGAUGGUCUUCUAGGGUACGGUCGGUUCCAAGGUCUAGGGUUAAGCUUUGUGUUUUGUUGUUGUUGAAGGUUGAAGAAGAUACGGCAACCAUGGAUGGUGUUCU
RNAcentral lists this long non-coding RNA (814 nucleotides) under Nicotiana benthamiana. RNAcentral's name for it is "long non-coding RNA (NBEN_LNC030352)". The record is from RNAcentral. Lineage: Eukaryota; Viridiplantae; Streptophyta; Magnoliopsida; Solanales; Solanaceae.